GACGAACGCUGGCGGCGUGCCUAAUACAUGCCAGUAGAACGCACAGUUUAUACCGUAGCUUGCUACACCAUAGACUGUGAGUUGCGAACGGGUGAGUAACGCGUAGGUAACCUGCCUGGUAGCGGGGGAUAACUAUUGGAAACGAUAGCUAAUACCGCAUAAUAUUAAUUAUUGCAUGAUAAUUAAUUGAAAGGUGCAAUUGCACCACUACCAGAUGGACCUGCGUUGUAUUAGCUAGUAGGUGAGGUAACGGCUCACCUAGGCGACGAUACAUAGCCGACCUGAGAGGGUGAUCGGCCACACUGGGACUGAGACACGGCCCAGACUCCUACGGGAGGCAGCAGUAGGGAAUCUUCGGCAAUGGACGAAAGUCUGACCGAGCAACGCCGCGUGAGUGAAGAAGGUUUUCGGAUCGUAAAGCUCUGUUGUAAGAGAAGAACGGGUGUGAGAGUGGAAAGUUCACACUGUGACGGUAUCUUACCAGAAAGGGACGGCUAACUACGU
Molecule: ribosomal RNA, 504 nt
Filed under: uncultured bacterium
Lineage: Bacteria
Description: partial 16S ribosomal RNA
Rfam family: Bacterial small subunit ribosomal RNA
Source: RNAcentral